GCUGCCCCAGAGACCUCGCAGGUGUGGCUGCUGUGUCACAUGUGCAUCGGUAGGUGGCAGAGUAUAGAGAGCUAUGCUCAGUGUUCCUAUCCAUGAACACCGGAAUGAUUAGUGGUAGCCUAGCAUU
Molecule: small nucleolar RNA, 127 nt
Organism: Acomys russatus (golden spiny mouse)
Lineage: Eukaryota; Metazoa; Chordata; Mammalia; Rodentia; Muridae
Product: small nucleolar RNA SNORA17
Exons: 1
Source: RefSeq, a predicted model, not a curated record